UCACGAAAGUGGAUUGCACUAGAAGUCUGCACGCUGACCCGCAAGGGAGGCAGCGGCCCAAGGUAUGAUUCAUGAUUGGGGUGAAGUCGUAAACCAAAGGGUACC
Molecule: ribosomal RNA, 105 nt
Filed under: uncultured bacterium
Lineage: Bacteria
Description: partial 16S ribosomal RNA
Source: RNAcentral